GACGAACGCUGGCGGCGUGCCUAAUACAUGCAAGUUGAACGCUAAAGCUUUAACUGGUGCUUGCACCGACUUAAGUUUUUAGAGUAGCGGACGGGUGAGUAACACGUGGGUAACCUGCCCAUCAGAGGGGGAUAACACUUGGAAACAGGUGCUAAUACCGCAUAAUUCCUUUUACCGCAUGGUAAAAGGCUGAAAGGCGCUUCUGGUGUCACUGAUGGAUGGACCCGCGGUGCAUUAGCUAGUCGGUGGGGUAACGGCCUACCGAGGCGAUGAUGCAUAGCCGACCUGAGAGGAUGACCAGCCACACUGGAACUGAGACACGGUCCAGACUCCUACGGGAGGCAGCAGUGGGGAAUCUUCGGCAAUGGACGAAAGUCUGACCGAGCAACGCCGCGUGAGUGAAGAAGGUUUUCGGAUCGUAAAACUCUGUUGUUAGAGAAGAACAAGGAUGAGAGUAACUGUUCAUCCCUUGACGGUAUCUAACCAGAAAGCCACGGCUAACUACGUGCCAGCCGCCGCCGUAACAC
RNAcentral lists this ribosomal RNA (527 nucleotides) under uncultured bacterium. RNAcentral's name for it is "bacterial SSU rRNA". It matches the Rfam family "Bacterial small subunit ribosomal RNA", at positions 28 to 526 of the family's 1533-position model. The record is from RNAcentral.